This 4145-nucleotide unclassified non-coding RNA is filed under the name Leishmania donovani. Its description in RNAcentral is "gene:LdHU3.33.4080(CDS-product:GTP-binding_elonga tion_factor_tu_family_protein_putative)". The record is from RNAcentral. Lineage: Eukaryota; Euglenozoa; Kinetoplastea; Trypanosomatida; Trypanosomatidae.
GUGCACGCUCACCACAAUCCCAGAGCCCCCCAUGAGGGGCCGCCUUCCCACGCCUCACACGCGCACGCUCUCAUCAUCCCUACACUCCUUCUUAUUACUUUGCCGCCCAGUGCACGUGCGAGUCUUCUCCUUUGUCUUGUGGGACGUAGCGCCUCCUGCUGCCACCGCCACUUGUGUUGGAACGGUCAGGCGCAAGCCACCGCAUACUGUUGUGUUCUGGGUGCGGUGGCGGCGUGCCUUUUUCUUUGGGGGAAGGAGGGUGGGGGGGGGGGCAAAUUGUGCUGCCGCUGCUGUAGCCCCGCGCAGAGUGGCGUCGCAUCUCCUUUUGUCUUUCACUCUUCUAUUACUGGCCCGCUGAUCUUGCUUUGGUGUUCGUGUAUGUGCGUGUGUGUGUUUUGAGCGUGAGCGUGUGCAGUAAUCAGAGGGUUUUGCAACUGUGGCACUGUGGGUCGCCACCUUUCCUUCACGUUUUAUCUUUUUCAUUUGAGGGAUUCUAGCUGAAUUCGUGUGUUGGCCGCCCGAGCAAGCACUGAAACACACACACACACACAAAGAUGGCUUCAGGGGAGGCCCACGCGCUGUGCAUCGUGUUGUACGAGCCGCAGGCGGAGAAGCCCUUCGCGGAAUGGGUGGCGUCCGACGCGGUGCGGCAGGGAUUGAAGGAUGAAAUUGACGAGGUGGUCACCGCCGCCAUUCCGCAGCAAGCUGGUGACAUUGAUGGCGUUGCCAGUGCAGACACGGCAUCGCCGACACAGCACAUCCCCAUGGCGCUGAUAGCGAGCACGCUGGCGGCGCAACAGGAGGUCAAUGACGGUCGUCGCACAAGCCGUGCGGAGCAGCAGCAGCCGCUGCUACUGUGCCUCGUCGUCAUAGUUUUUUGGGACGGCCAAGCAGAGGCUAGCAAGACCGCCCUGGCGCAGCUGAAGCAGCUGGGCGAUAAGAAAUGGGUGGCAUCACACGUGCCACUUUGGGCAGAGCAUGUGGAAGUCCUGGUACAGGCCCUGAACGCGAAGCGGGGCACUGCAAGUAUCAUGAACAACAAGGUUGCUCUCGUCGCCAGUUUGCGCAAGAAGCUUCAGGCGUCCGCCAUGGCGGCGAAGGGGUGGUGGCGAGAGGGUGCGCUGCAGAGAGCCGGAAGGUACGCUGAUCCGAACGCUACUGCCGAGACCGUGUGGACGGCGUCGCCGGCGGCAUCUUCGAACGGUGGUAGUGACUCGUCAUCGCCUGUUGCCGCCGCAGUAGGGACGGCAGCUUCCCUGGGCGAGACCGACAUCUCCGUGGAUGCUGUCCGCCGCGCCGUCGACAGCGGUCAGGGCGAGACUUUUUUCCUCUUGAGCGACCGGGACCGGGCUGGACUGGCGAACAAGGUGGAGACGCUUAAGCAGAACUGUGAAGUGGCCGAGGUGGGGUGUGCGCCGGUAAUGAUGGAGCCGCGAGAGUUGCACCUGUUGCAGGGGGCGACGGGCACAUCUGGCGCCCUGAUGAGUGCCAACGCCGCGGGCAACAAGACGACCACUGGCGCACCUUCGCCGCCCGCCGCUGCUUCCUCGUCUCCGACCACAACGCUGGUGGCGCAGGAAUUCCUGCUUCGCCGUCGCUGCCCUCCGGCUGCACUCUUCGAGUUGCGCCUGGCCAUGUGCGGCAACGUGGACAGCGGUAAGAGCACUCUCACCUCCGUGCUAACCCGCGGCUGCUGUGACGAUGGCCGUGGGCUGGCGCGUGCUUUCGUCUUCAAGCACAAGCAGGAGGUCAUGACCGGCCGCACAUCCAGUGUCAGCGAGAACCACCUGGGCUUCUCUGCCGAAGGCGGGGUAGUGAACUACACGCUGUUGCAGCCGCACCGCACGGAGGCGGAGCUGCGACCUCUGGCGCCAUCGGAGGUGGCGCGGCACCUGAUGGCCUCGGCAGAAGCGGUCUCCGGCGCGACACACAGUGCAGCAGGCGGCAGUGGGGCCCACACAAUGCGCCAAUGCACACCGAAGGAGCUCGCCACACGCAGCUCCAAGGUGGUCACGCUGUACGAUCUGGCUGGGCACGAACGAUACCUGAAGACCACUGUGCUGGGCAUGACGCGCAACAUGCCCGACUACGCGUGCAUUGUCAUCAGCGCCAACAACGGCAUUCAGCGGAUGACGAAGGAACACCUGGCGUUAUGUCUGGCGCUGAAGCUGCCGUUCUUUAUUGUCGUCACUCGUAUCGAUGCAACCCCGUCGAACAUCCAUGAUGAGACGCUGUCGAACAUCCAAAAGCUGCUAAAGAUUCCGACCGUGCGCAAGCUUCCCUACCCGGUGCGGCGACAUGACGAGGUGACUUUGGCAGCCAAGAACCUGCGCUAUGACCGCAUUGCCCCGAUCUUCGAAGUCAGCAACGUUACCGGCGCUGGCAUCCCCGACCUGCUGCAAUUCCUUAACUUGCUCCCGACUCGGAAGGACUGGCGGCAGGCACGCGACAUGCCAAAGGAGAUGAUCAUUGACAGCACAUUCUUUGUCACCGGUGUCGGCACCGUCGUGGGGGGGAUCAUCACACAGGGCGUUUUCCGCGUGAACGAGACGGUGCUGCUGGGGCCUGACGGCUUUGGGAACUUCCGCCCUGUGGUCAUCAAGUCCAUUCACAUCAAAGGCGUCGACUCCAUCGCUGCCGAGGCCGGAAAAGACGCGGCACUGUGUCUCAAGAAGGAAAAACGCAGCUCCAUUCGCAAAGGCAACGUCCUGGUCGACGCCGCUCAUCCGCCCAAGUCGUUCUGGCAGUUCGAGGCCGAGAUCAUCAUUCUCUACCACUCAACGACGAUCACCGCCAACUACGAACCAGUCAUUCACUCCACAACCGUGCGGCAGUCGGCGCGCAUUACCUACGUUGCGCAGGAAGUGCUACGCACCGGUGACAAAUCUCUCGCGCGCUUCCACUUUCUCUACCGUCCCGAGUACAUGAAAGAAGGACAGCGACUAAUUUUCCGCGAAGGUCGCACUAAAGGUAUCGGCAUCGUUACGAAGCUGAUCUGUGAGCCAAAUGACCUUGUGUUGGCCAAGAACAAGCUGCGCAAGAAGAUGCGGGAGAAGCUGCAUGCCCCGGUAGGGGCGAAGUGAACCACUUCCGGUGCCGAGCAAGGGCGAACGGCAAACGACUAAAUAGGUGUUCGAGGAAUACGCCGCACGGAGAGACGUGCAUCAAACGUCCUAUACGCCACGUUUGGACGCGCGCUCCACGCUCACGUCGCGAGCACACGCAUGAUCCUCCGUACAUAUGUACGCCUGUGCGUGCAGCUCAUCACGGAUAGAAUACCUUUGAGAGAAAAACAGACAUACAAUUUGUUGUUCCUUAAAUGUUUCACUCGAGUUUUAGGAUGUCAAAGCAGGGACGCCUACACAACCACAGCUCGCCUAACUCUGCCGCAUUAGCGGCGACGUCCUGGUUCUCUAGGGGGCGCGCCGUGCGCCGUUGAACCGCAGCCACGCGUCUACCGGGCGCUCCCUGCACGUCAUUGCUUAUUCUUUGGGUACGUGCUGCGCGGUAGGCGUGCCUACACGGACAUGGCUGCACCGCACGCCUUGACGCAGGCGGGGCCGCGGCCAUGAGUCCUGUGGCAGCGGGUGCGUCGAGCGGAAGGGGCCCGCGGAUAGGCAUGCGCCUGCUCGCGAGGAGACCACGUAGCCUGCCGCUCCGAAGGGGCACCGGAGGGCAACCGCAGGCGCCCGACGGCGGAAGCCCGUGCAGCGCGAGCGAUCCGCGAAUCUCGCGUGGCAUAUCGGGCACAGCGCCGGGACGGACGCCCUCGGUAGGCAAAGCAGGGCGGGCGGAGGCUCUGGCGGGUGCGGGGUACCACAAUGCUAGCGGAGACGUGGGCAGCACACCAUCUGCGCUCCGUGUUGUCACUGCGGAUCACCCGCCGUUGCAGGAAUCCGAAGCACCAGCCGGGUGCCCAAUUCCUUUGCCCACCGCAAAACACAAAGAAAAGGAGGCAAGGAAAAGGCAGGCGGGUUUGCAGAAGCCCAAGUGGCUCUUCGUUAUCUCUGUGUUUGGGCAUGCCUGCUUACGUUGUGUGUGUUGUUUGGUAAUCGCGCGUUCCAGAGGAGCGAAGAAAAGGCAGAUGCCUCGUAGUUUUUUUUUUAAAGUGCCUUUGAUGUCUGUGUGUCUGGCGCGCGGGUUGG